UACGGGGGAUGCAAGCGUUAUCCGGAUUUAUUGGGUUUAAAGGGUGCGUAGGCUGUGAGGUAAGUCAGCGGUGAAAUGCCCCCGCUCAACGGGGUGAAGUGCCAUUGAUACUGCCUUGCUGGAAUGCGGAUGCCGUGGGAGGAAUGUGUGGUGUAGCGGUGAAAUGCAUAGAUAUCACACAGAACACCGAUUGCGAAGGCAUCUCACGAAUCCCCUAUUGACGCUGAUGCACGAAAGCGUGGGUACCAAACAGG
This 254-nucleotide ribosomal RNA is filed under the name uncultured bacterium. Its description in RNAcentral is "partial 16S ribosomal RNA". It matches the Rfam family "Bacterial small subunit ribosomal RNA", at positions 524 to 776 of the family's 1533-position model. The record is from RNAcentral.